Molecule: long non-coding RNA, 689 nt
Organism: Papilio polytes (common Mormon)
Lineage: Eukaryota; Metazoa; Arthropoda; Insecta; Lepidoptera; Papilionidae
Exons: 3
Source: RefSeq, a predicted model, not a curated record
GGCGGCGGCUCUCCGCCCGGCGGCCUGGGGCUGUACGCGCCGCGCCCGCCGCCGCGAGCUCCCCCGAGGUGGAAUGCGCCUUUCCCGACAUUAGAAGAAGAGUUCAACAUUAUGACGGCGCCCGGCGGACCCGAUCACGUCGUGCUUUUGGAUGAUGAGCGUUUCUUCCAAUCUAACGUGAUAAGUGCGGAAGGCAGCGCAAUGGAUACAAGUUCCGGCGUGUGCGCGGCGGAGGGCGAGGAGCUGGCGCCCGACAAGCCGCUGCGCUCGCCGUGAUGCGCGCCGCCGCGGUGGACGCCCGCGCCGCCGCCGCACUGGCGCCCCGUCGGCCUCGCGCACCGCACGCCCUGACAGCUGACAGCCCGCCACCGACAGAACAUAGCUGACAGCUGACAGCCCGCCAAACGCAAUACAGUCCGCCAUGUUCUUUUGUACAAAAGAUUCAAUUCGUUUGUUUUUUGUUUGUAAUCGGAUACAUUCGGCCUUAUUUUUUUUUAAUGAAACAAAAGCAAUUUAUUUACAGCCAGUAUCAUAUUUCUAUAAUUUAGGAAUUUUUAAUUUCUGCCAAGGCUAUGUUUUUUUUUCGAACACCAAUGCAAUUCUUUACGGCCAGUUUUAUGUAAAAAGAAAUUGGUUUCUUUUAAAGUAUUUAAAGCGGUUUUAAAAUGUAAGUUUUGUUUUGUAAUUUG